This 568-nucleotide long non-coding RNA is filed under the name Homo sapiens (human). Its description in RNAcentral is "rabphilin 3A like (without C2 domains) (ENSG00000262334.6)". The record is from RNAcentral. Lineage: Eukaryota; Metazoa; Chordata; Mammalia; Primates; Hominidae.
GAAACGACAGUCUCAUGGGCCCGUGGGGAGGUUAAGUCCAGAUGCAGAGGAUUCGUGGAUACUAAUUAUCCAAUUCGCCAUAAUGAAGGCCUGAAUUAAGGCAGGAGCAGCCAAGAUGGAGACUCUGAAGACAGGAGUUAGCCACGAUAAAGCUGCCAGCGGUGGAGAGCUCACUCUAGGGGUACCAAGCACCCAGCUGAUUAGCAAAACCACCUGGGAGGUCACGGUCUCCUCGUUGCAGGUGAAGAAACGGAGGCGAGGUGGAGAAAGUCUGCACCAAAUGUGGGAUCGAGGCCUCCCCUGGCCAGAAGCGGCCCCUGUGGCUGUGUAAGAUCUGCAGUGAGCAAAGAGAGGUCUGGAAGAGGUCGGGGGCCUGGUUCUACAAAGGGCUCCCCAAGUAUAUCUUGCCCCUGAAGACCCCUGGCCGAGCUGAUGACCCCCACUUCCGACCUUUGCCCACGGAACCGGCAGAGCGAGAGCCCAGAAGCUCUGAGACCAGCCGCAUCUACACGUGGGCCCGAGGAAGAGUGGUUUCCAGUGACAGUGACAGUGACUCGGAUCUUAGCUC